RNAcentral lists this long non-coding RNA (792 nucleotides) under Olea europaea subsp. europaea. Lineage: Eukaryota; Viridiplantae; Streptophyta; Magnoliopsida; Lamiales; Oleaceae. The record is from RNAcentral.
CGGCAACUACGUACACAAGAAAGAAAAGUCAGCUAGAUCAAUAAAGUUCAAUACUGAAACAAUCUCUACCAAUUCAAAUUCAUCCACGAAUUAAAAAAAAGAAUCCGUAAAACCCCGUUUCUGUGAUUAAUCGUCUGUGUCUCAAUCGGCUGUAAUGUUGGAGUUGUUCUUCACAGUGGCGUUUUCUGCAGUCCCGUUGAUUCUUUACAUCCCUCCAGUCAGGAGCUUGAGUCUAUUUGUGGAGACAAUGGAGGAUAUGUGGAGACAGUCAAGUGCUUAUACUGGCAGGAUUUAUCCUCGUCUGAGAUUUGCUUGUGGUAGGAUUUUGAAUUUUAUGCUUAAUAAUACCACAAGAUAAAUUAGUUUAAUUCUUUCAAUUUGAAUCCAGAGCUUGAAUUGAACCAUCUCGGAUAGAUUCAAAACAUUAUUUGUAUGUAUAUUCUCGGAUUUUUUUCCUCUUCUGUUUCAAGUGUUUUGGGAUUGAUUUACAAUAGGAUUUAGCCGUUCGAUUUGCUACUGCUGUUGUUCUUGUGAAAUUUGUAUUUCAGAUAAUCAAUAAACGAAAAUUUUAUGGUGUUGGUAGAAUUAUCGUCUUAGAUAUGUUCUGUUCGAUUAUGAAAAUAAUAGCUUAGGGCUAGGGAUACACCUCUUAAUACCUCUUAAGAUGGAAUCCAAAAUCCAAUAGUGGGUCUGAGUGCGUGGCGGCAAUGGUCUCUAAUAUUUAGCAAUAGGAAAUUUUUGGAGUAUUGAGGUUAGGGAAAGGACAAUUUACUAUCCUUAAAUGUUUCGCGG